GUAAAAGACUGAGGAUGACCCUCUUUCAUCUGUGUUUACUAUUUAUUUGAGUUUUGAAGGCGGUUUAUUGAAUUUUAGAAGGAAGGGUGAAAUUGUUGAUAUUGGAAGACAUUCGAUAGCGAAAGCAUUAACCGAUUCAGAUCUAACGCUAGGUACUAAAGUAUGGGGAUAAAUAGGAUUAGAGACCUAGUAGUCCAUACCUUAAACAAUGAGUGUUCAACGUCUUUUAAUGACUAGUAUUACCGUUAUUUUAAUAAAGCUAAUAUGAAAAUUAUUGGGGGUUUAAAGCUAACGCGUGAAACACCGCCUGGGGAAUGUGGCCGCAAGGUUAAACUCAAAGGAAUUGACGGAGACUUAUACAAGG
RNAcentral lists this ribosomal RNA (364 nucleotides) under Badhamia macrocarpa. RNAcentral's name for it is "partial small subunit ribosomal RNA". It matches the Rfam family "Bacterial small subunit ribosomal RNA", at positions 594 to 930 of the family's 1533-position model. The record is from RNAcentral. Lineage: Eukaryota; Evosea; Eumycetozoa; Physariida; Physaraceae.